Molecule: ribosomal RNA, 371 nt
Filed under: Pholidobolus sp. 1 JS-2018
Lineage: Eukaryota; Metazoa; Chordata; Lepidosauria; Squamata; Gymnophthalmidae
Description: partial 12S ribosomal RNA
Rfam family: Bacterial small subunit ribosomal RNA
Source: RNAcentral
GCUCAAGCACUACUAAGACAGCAUCCGCCAGAAAAUUACGGGCGAAAGCCUAAAACUCAAAAGACUUGACGGUGUCCCAAUCCCCCUAGAGGAGCCUGUUCCAUAAUCGACAACCCCCGAUAUACCUAACCACUCCUAGACCAAUCAGCCUAUAUACCGCCGUCGAACAGCCUACCUUUAAAAGACCACAAGUAGGCCAAAUAGUAAACACUAACAAGUCAGGUCAAGGUGUAGCUUAUGGGGUGGAGGAAAUGGGCUACAUUAUUUACUAUAAAUUAUACGAACUACCUCACCAUGAAAAAGAUAAUGAAGGCGGAUUUAGCAGUAAUUUAAACAAGAAUAUUUAAAUUAACACCGGCCCUGGGACAUGU